Molecule: ribosomal RNA, 253 nt
Filed under: uncultured bacterium
Lineage: Bacteria
Description: partial 16S ribosomal RNA
Rfam family: Bacterial small subunit ribosomal RNA
Source: RNAcentral
UACGGAGGGGGCUAGCGUUGUUCGGAAUUACUGGGCGUAAAGCGCACGUAGGUGGCUUUGUAAGUUAGAGGUGAAAGCCCGGGGCUCAACUCCGGAAUUGCCUUUAAGACUGCAUCGCUAGAACGUCGGAGAGGUAAGUGGAAUUCCGAGUGUAGAGGUGAAAUUCGUAGAUAUUGGGAAGAACACCGGUGGCGAAGGCGGCUCACUGGCUCAUUACUGACGCUCAGGCGCGAUAGCGUGGGGAUCAAACAGG